GACGAACGCUGGCGGCGUGCUUAACACAUGCAAGUCGAACGGUGAAGCGCCUUCCUUUUUGGUGGGUGUGGAUGAGUGGCGAACGGGUGAGUAACACGUGAGUAACCUGCCCCCUUCUUCUGGAUAACCGCAUGAAAGUGUGGCUAAUACGGGAUAUUCUGGGUCUGUCGCAUGAUGGGUCUGGGAAAGAUAUUGUUUCGGUGGGGGAUGGGCUCGCGGCCUAUCAGCUUGUUGGUGGGGUGAUGGCCUACCAAGGCGGUGACGGGUAGCCGGCCUGAGAGGGGGGUGGGUGCACGGGGGACGGAGAACCCGGCCACAGCCGUGAGGGAGGAGGGGGGGGGGAAUUUGGAAGGAGGGGGGCAGGACUGAGCCGGGGACGCCGGGUGAGGGAGGGCGGCCGUGGGGUGGGGACCCUUUUUGGCGAGGAAAGCGGGCCGGCCGCGUUUGGGGGGGGGUGGAGGGAAGCGGGGAAAAAGGCCCCGGUAAACUAGGU
Molecule: ribosomal RNA, 493 nt
Filed under: uncultured bacterium
Lineage: Bacteria
Description: partial 16S ribosomal RNA
Rfam family: Bacterial small subunit ribosomal RNA (bases 20-337)
Source: RNAcentral